Molecule: long non-coding RNA, 2183 nt
Organism: Neopsephotus bourkii (Bourke's parrot)
Lineage: Eukaryota; Metazoa; Chordata; Aves; Psittaciformes; Psittacidae
Exons: 6
Source: RefSeq, a predicted model, not a curated record
CCGAUAUAAACACACCUGCUGUAAUACAUAAAUACAUUUGCUUCCACCCGGCUACUACAUCCAGCCAACAGCUCCAGUAGGUUAUGGAGAAGAAACUGGUAGGUGGCUAAGCCGUGCUAGGGAGCGUUAGAAAUGGGGCAGAGCUCCCGGAAAGCCGGGAAGAGUCAGCAGAGGAGCCCUCGGCGGUGCUGGGGAGCUGAGCGAGAAAAUAGUCUGAAGAUGGAAUUCCCAUCUACUUCUAUAAAUUAAAAGUUUGUGGGAAAAAAAACCCCAAAACCAAAACAAACCAAACAACAUAAAUACCCUUGCAAGUGGAAACUCGCUUUACAGUCGCCUAUCUGGGUUGCUCCCAAAUAGGGCAGAGAGUGUCUUGCAGAUGGGAGAGCAUCCUCACAUGCUCAUCAUCUCUCUCUCAAACUCCGCUGGCUCUGUUCCUCCAACCAUUAAAAACUGUUCACAGGUUAUCACCAUAACAACACAUCCAGUGAAAGUCAUCUGGGAACAGCUGAAAUGAGUUCCAACAGUGGAGAUGCUUCUAUAUCCAAUGCCUCCUGCUUCCAAUGCAGAAGUUGUCAGGUUCAGAAUACAGCCCAUCACGAAGUUGGUAGCACAGCCUUUUGCUGGUUUAAAGUAAUCAUCAAAAGUAAGUGCUAAAAAAGAUAUUCCUAUAUGGCUUACAGGAAAGAUCAAAAGAAUAAUCCAGCACCAGACAGCAUCAGUUAUGAAGGAUACCUGAACUGUUCUACUGUCAAGAUGUCUGGGUGGCCACAGACAUUCACUGAACUGACAGAUCAUUCUGAUUAGCUUUUUAAUUAUGGCUAGAGAAGGCUAUUUACAGCACUCCUGACUGCUAUAAACCAGUCCCUGUGGGGAAACAUAAGUAAAAAAGAGGUGAGCAGCUUUAAAUAAAUAACUACUAUCAUUUUCCAUUGUCAAAAAGAAAGGGAAGCGUUUUCUAUACCUUGUAGUAAAUACAGACCUAAACUGGAAAGCACAGUUCGGGUUAGAGUCCAAAACUUGAAAUGAUCUGAAAUUGAGUUAACUUUACCACAGGUAUUUGCUAUGACAAUUUGGAAGGAAUUCAUAAUUUAACUUUGUAAAUUCUUGUAGGUAGUCCAUUACAUCACCUGGUUAAAGACAGUUAUGUUAACCUGAGAUACUUUUUAUAUGAGAGUACUGUACUGUAUUACAGUACACAGAAUAGUAAUACAACUUCAGUAUGAUUUGUCAAGUAAUCUUGAAUUUUCCUCUUGUUGCAGAUUCUCAAGUAUCCCUGGUGACUAUCUGCCUGCAGAAUACUGGAAGUGACCCUUGAAGAAGGAAACUCCUAUUGUCAUCGUCAGGCUGAAAUGAGAUGGAAGUAGGCAGUGCUUGAAGACAGUUUGUGGAAUCCAUUAGGAAGCACAAGAAGGGAGUACCUUGUGAGUAACAGAAACAAACUCUGCUAUGGGCACUGUUCUGUGGAAUAUAUGGCCACAGAUCCGUCUGGGAAACUUAGCCAAAUAUGCUUUCGAGCUCUCUGUAAAGGCAGAAAUUUGGCUCAUAUUCAAGGUUAACUAAGUCAAAUGUGAUUAUCUGUGUUCCUGUCUCUUCACUGAUGAGCUCUUACGUCCAGUGGAACCUAAGGGACAAAGUCAUUAUCAAAUGUCUAACAUAUAAGUCUACAAGUAUGUGGUAUGAACAGUAAAAAUACUCCAAUUUUAAACCUUUCUGUAACACAUUUAGAAGAAUAGGCACAAAGUAGUUCAUCUUCUUUCCUUUACUUUAAAUUCAAUAUACCUAGAAAUGUUUUUACCAUCAUGUUUAUAAUUGUGUUUAGAAUAAGAAAACUCUCAUAGGUAUUUCUGUUCAGUGCAAUAUACUUGUAACAUCAAAAGAGUGUUGUUCCCUACUAAUUCAACAUUUUGCUUUCUUAUAUAUUUAUAUGAAAUGCUAGCGUAUGUACAGUCAACUGUCACAACAUGGAGCAAGACUAAGACUACCCUUUUUCAGAAGAAACCGACCUGAUUGACAUUCAUUACACCAGCAUAAUAGCAGUACCUAUCCAGUAGAGGACCUUCAGAAGCACUUUCACUGUUACAAGCACACAUUUGUCAGGUUUCAUUUCCAAAUAUCAAGAUAAGGAACUAGGCAAAUACAUUCUUUUGUUAAGCUUAUUUUCUACUUUUAUAAUUUGUGCAGUU